Molecule: unclassified non-coding RNA, 209 nt
Filed under: Hevea brasiliensis (rubber tree)
Lineage: Eukaryota; Viridiplantae; Streptophyta; Magnoliopsida; Malpighiales; Euphorbiaceae
Source: RNAcentral
AAGAUGCUGUUAAGAUGGCACAACUGGAAGAAAGGUUGGAUCUUGUUACAAGAGGAAUUUCAAGAGACGAAAGGAAAUGGAUGCUCUGAGGCAUGAUUUCAAGAAGCUGCAAGAUGGAAUCAAGAAAUAUGCUGCCGAGAAUAAAGUUGCAGUUGAAAAGACAAUUGAGGCUGCUGUAAGAAGAUUGGAAACCCUGAUGUUAGGGUUUU